GCUCCAAUAGCGUAUAUUUAAGUUGUUGCAGUUAAAAAGCUCGUAGUUGGAUUUCGGAGAGGUACUGCCGGUCUGCCGUUUCGGUACGCACUGGCAGCGCCUCUCUUGCUGCCGGAAACGGGCUCCUGAGCUUAAUUGCUCGGGACUCGGUGUCGGCGAGGUUACUUUGAGUAAAUUAGAGUGUUCAAAGCAGGCCUACG
Molecule: ribosomal RNA, 200 nt
Filed under: uncultured eukaryote
Lineage: Eukaryota
Description: partial 18S ribosomal RNA
Rfam family: Eukaryotic small subunit ribosomal RNA
Source: RNAcentral